AAGAUUAUACUUUCCAGGAUCAUUUCUAUAGAAUGUGACUAGAGAAUUUUCUCUGUUCGUGUAGAGCACCCGAAGCCACGAGGAGGAGCCAGAGCAUCCUCUCCUGAGCAUGAAGCCGACUCUAGGUAUCACUUCUGCGGCUGCCUUUGGCCAUUGAUGAUCGUUCUCCCCUUCCUUUAGAAGGGGUAAAGGGAGAGGAUGCAGUCUGAGUCGU
This is a small nucleolar RNA of Suncus etruscus (white-toothed pygmy shrew), 214 nucleotides long. RefSeq annotates it as small nucleolar RNA U3. The transcript has a single exon. Lineage: Eukaryota; Metazoa; Chordata; Mammalia; Eulipotyphla; Soricidae. The record is from RefSeq and is a predicted model, not a curated record.